GCAUCUUCUUCUUCUUCUUUCGCCUCUUCACUACUGGCGUGACCAAAGCUUCCUGCACCUCCACCUUCAUUUCAGAAUCAACAUUCAGUUCCUCCGCAAUUACAGAAUCAACCUUCGGUGCCUCCACAAAUACAGAAUCAUCCUCCGGUGCCUCCACCACUACAUAAUCAUCCUUCGGUGCCUCCACAACUACAUAAUCAUCCUUCGGUGCCUCCACAACUACAGAAUCAUUUUCCAGAGCCUCCGCCAUUCCAGAAUCAAUUUUAGGUGCCUCCACGAUUACAGAAUCAACCUUCGGUGGCGCCUCCACCAUAACAGAAUCAACUUUCGCUUCGAUAAUUACAGAAUUAACCUUCGAUUCAUCCAUAUCUACAGAAUUACGAUCCUC
Molecule: long non-coding RNA, 388 nt
Filed under: Daucus carota (carrot)
Lineage: Eukaryota; Viridiplantae; Streptophyta; Magnoliopsida; Apiales; Apiaceae
Description: long non-coding RNA (DCAR_LNC004484)
Source: RNAcentral